RNAcentral lists this unclassified non-coding RNA (242 nucleotides) under Glomeraceae sp. RNAcentral describes it as "partial contains 5.8S ribosomal RNA and internal transcribed spacer 2". The stretch from base 1 to 71 matches the Rfam family "5.8S ribosomal RNA", at positions 84 to 154 of the family's 154-position model. The record is from RNAcentral. Lineage: Eukaryota; Fungi; Glomeromycota; Glomeromycetes; Glomerales; Glomeraceae.
GUGAAUCAUCAAAUUUUUGAACGCAAAUUGCACUCUCUGGCAUUCCGGAGAGUAUGCCUGUUUGAGGGUCAGUAUAAUUAAAAUUGGAGCGAUGCGUUUUGGGUGACGCACAGGAGUUUGGGUUAUGUUAACUCUUUUUUUUAAAAGUCCUAUAAUUAACAUUAUUUUUUGUUUACUUUUGAGAUGUAUGUAAUUUUUUUCUUUUCGUCUAUCUUGGUGGAAAAAUUUUUAUUCGAUUGUGA